Molecule: transfer RNA, 76 nt
Filed under: Rheinheimera tangshanensis
Lineage: Bacteria; Pseudomonadati; Pseudomonadota; Gammaproteobacteria; Chromatiales; Chromatiaceae
Also listed under: 1 other name
Description: Pararheinheimera tangshanensis tRNA-Val
Rfam family: tRNA
About the family: Transfer RNA (tRNA) molecules are approximately 80 nucleotides in length.
Source: RNAcentral
GGAUGCUUAGCUCAGCUGGGAGAGCACCGCCCUUACAAGGCGGGGGUCACUGGUUCGAACCCAGUAGCGUCCACCA